This is a long non-coding RNA of Equus caballus (horse), 1879 nucleotides long. The record is from Ensembl. Lineage: Eukaryota; Metazoa; Chordata; Mammalia; Perissodactyla; Equidae.
GUUUCCUCUGUCUUUCUGCAUAUCUGUAGUGUAGCCACCUAUUAAGUAAGCGAUUAAAUACUCAGUUGCCAUGCUCUGGGUUAAGUCUUUUCUCCUGUUAAAGAAAAAAUUAUCCAGUGACACUUGAUGAAGACGGUCCCCGUAUCUGUGAAACCGCCUUGGAAAAGCCUCUACACACAAGCAAUGCCUUGUUCCUGGCCAACUACCACAGGCCUGCUCCAGCACUCCUGUCCCUGAGGCUCCCAUCCCUCUGAGACUGGCUGUGCCCGGGAGAAAGAGGAGGAGGAGGAAGAGGAGGAGGACUCUCCGGAGAUCAGAAGUGAGAAGUUUUACACAACCGGGGAAAUGGAGGAAAAACCCGAGUCUUAAAGCCCCAGUCGUUGCCUAUCUGAGCCUCACCACUACUCACUCCAAAUUAAUGCAAGGAAGAUUUUGACCUUGAGGGUCGGGUUGAACCAGACUAGCACGGAAAAGGGAAGGUGGAAAAGAAUCUGAGGGAAAGAGGGUACCCUUCGGAAAACAAGGAAUAUUCAAGUACCAGGUGCGAAAGUUUUAAAUAGAAACCCGCUUACAUUGCACUUGGAGUAACAACAGCUGGCUGGAGGUCCUGGGGCUCCUCAGAAGACGAAGAAUUUUUCCGGGACAGUCUCAACAUCACGUGAAGCCAUUGUAGCAAAGGCUACAGCUCAGUGGCCCCCUGUCUAUGCAUCUCAAAUUGCGAGCUUAGGGAUUUAUUUUCUAACUUGUACACUAAACCUCUCACAUUCCACCCGCACACAAUGACUCUGUUUUUCAAAAUGCUGUCAUACAUGGGAAUUUUAUGACAUCAAACCCUUAAAAAUGUGGAAACUUUGGUUUCAAAAUACUUAAUAGGGGAAAAUAAUAAACCCCUUGAUUCACAGUUUCUUUGCUUGCUUACGGUUCGUUUCUGACACUGUGACUGGCGCGUGUUUGGGAGGCCGGGUUUCGGAGGCAUAAUCAAGUAUUCAUAUAUGCCUGGUCUUGGCACCGCAGAACGCUCCCUCUAAUCUGGAAAUAUUUUCCCUUCAGACAGGAAUAGAGAGGUUACAUUUGGGUCACUAGCAAUCUCACAAAAGGCUUUUCAAACGAGAUGAAAGAAAAGAAGUUCUGAUUUGUUGGGAGAAAUCGGAGAGCUUUCCAACUCGAGGGAUGUGGUGAGCGUCCAGGAGCGCGUCCAGGAGCGGCAUCUCUGGGGUGGGAAGCCGGGAGCACCCCCGACGGAUGGGCUGAGCGAGAAGGACAGGGUUACAGCCGGCGGAGGAGGCGAUGGAGCCCCUGCUUCCUCCAGGUGUCCCUUACGCAGACUUUCCAGGCAGGCUGUUGGCUGCAGGCGGCCGUCCCUCUUCCUGUGGCUUGGGCAUCAGCUUUCCAGCUCUCUCUGGAAAGCCUGUGUAAUGGCCGCCUGCCUGCAUGCGCUGCCUCGCCCACGACCCCAACAGUUAAACAGCUCUGUUCACAACCAGGGGAGGGUGACAACAUUUCAGAUGCAUUUCCUCCAGGCAGGACGAGUUGGCCCCAGCGGAGCGUACACCUGCGUUCCUCAAUCAUAGGAGGCUCUGUCUUUCCUCUCGCAUGACCCCGCUUUCCUACGUCUGUUGGGAAAGCAGAAUAUUUAGAAUCAAAGGGGCAGCCAGGGGAGGGAGAGAGGCGAAGUGCUGCCCAGCGCCUCAAAUGUCGCUGAGGAAUCAGGAGACACAGUUUCCUUCAGCUUAAAGAACUUACUUAGUUCCUUAAAGUCGAAUGAAUUCCUCAAGCACUGGAGAAACUUUUGCAAAAAUAUCCAGAGCCCAGACCAGUGCUUGGCGUGCAGCACACACUCCAUGAACGGCGUGGAGUGCGGACGCAGAGCACUGUUUCU